GUGGACACUUCAGAUUGAACCAUUAUGUAUAUCGCAGAGCAUUACAUGGCCUCUGAUGUGGAAUGGGACCCUACCGGCAGAUAUGUGGUGACUUCUGUUUCCUGGUGGAGCCACAAGGUGGACAAUGCAUACUGGCUUUGGACAUUCCAGGGAGGUCUUCUGCAAAAGAACAACAAAGAAAGAUUCUGCCAGUUGCUAUGGAGACCAUGUCCUCCUACUUUACUAGGUCAAGAGCAAACAAAGGCAAUUAAGAAGGACCUCAAAAAGUACUCAAAAAUCUUUGAACAAAAGGAUAGACUGAGCCGGUCGAAUGCUUCUGAGG
Long non-coding RNA from Carassius auratus (goldfish), 322 nucleotides. RefSeq lists it as uncharacterized. Lineage: Eukaryota; Metazoa; Chordata; Actinopteri; Cypriniformes; Cyprinidae. The transcript has 3 exons. The record is from RefSeq and is a predicted model, not a curated record.